RNAcentral lists this ribosomal RNA (497 nucleotides) under uncultured bacterium. RNAcentral describes it as "partial 16S ribosomal RNA". It matches the Rfam family "Bacterial small subunit ribosomal RNA", at positions 28 to 507 of the family's 1533-position model. The record is from RNAcentral.
GAUGAACGCUGGCGGCGUGCCUAAUACAUGCAAGUCGAGCGAACGGACGGGAAGCUUCCUUCACUGAUUUUACCGGCGGACGGGUGGGUAACACGUGGAUAACCUCCCUUUAGGACUGGAAUAACUUCGGGAAACCGGGGCUAAUACCGAAUACUAUUUUGCACCGCAUGGUUCAAAAUUGAAAGACGCUCUUGCUUACACUUAUAGAUUGGUCCGCGCUGCAUUAGCUAGUUGGUGAGGUAACGGCUUACCAAGGCCACGAUGCAUAGCCGACCUGAGAGGGUGAUCGGCCACACUGGAACUGAGACACGGUCCAGACUCCUACGGGAGGCAGCAGUAGGGAAUCUUCCGCAAUGGGCGAAAGCCUGACGGAGCAACGCCGCGUGAGUGAUGAAGGUCUUCGGAUCGUAAAACUCUGUUAUUAGGGAAGAACAUAUGUGUAAGUAACUGUGCACAUCUUGACGGUACCUAAUCAGAAAGCCACGGCUAACUACGUG